ACUAUUAAACUAAAAAUUAUAUAUCUCCCUAUUCAUUCAUAAGUCUCAUAUUUAUAAAUUUUUUUUAGCUUGAGCAAUAGAUUGAGCUAGGAGAUUUUUGCUCCUUCCUUCAGUGUCCACUGGGACGUUUUAGUGAUGAAUUGUGGUCUAUUUCACUUUUAACAUUGUUGAAAGUACAAGAAAACAUGUUAUUCAAAAGGACUUAAAGUUGAUGAUGCUUAAAGAGAUAAUUAUUUUCUGUCUUCAAUGUAAUAUAAAUGCAGG
RNAcentral lists this long non-coding RNA (264 nucleotides) under Phaseolus vulgaris (common bean). RNAcentral describes it as "long non-coding RNA (PVUL_LNC005291)". Lineage: Eukaryota; Viridiplantae; Streptophyta; Magnoliopsida; Fabales; Fabaceae. The record is from RNAcentral.